GACCUCGGAUCAGGUAGGGAUACCCGCUGAACUUAAGCAUAUCAAUAAGCGGAGGAAAAGAAACCAACAGGGAUUGCCUUAGUAACGGCGAGUGAAGCGGCAACAGCUCAAAUUUGAAAUCUAGCCUCAUGGUCCGAAUUGUAAUUUGUAGAGGAUGCUUCGAGCAUGGUCUGGUCUAAGUUCCUUGGAACAGGACGUCAUAGAGGGUGAGAAUCCCGUAUGCGACUAGGUGCCUAAGCUCAUGUGAAGCUCCUUCGACGAGUCGAGUUGUUUGGGAAUGCAGCUCAAAAUGGGUGGUAAAUUUCAUCUAAAGCUAAAUACUGGCCAGAGACCGAUAGCGCACAAGUAGAGUGAUCGAAAGAUGAAAAGCACUUUGGAAAGAGAGUUAAACAGUACGUGAAAUUGUUGAAAGGGAAGCGC
RNAcentral lists this ribosomal RNA (420 nucleotides) under uncultured fungus. RNAcentral's name for it is "eukaryotic LSU rRNA". It matches the Rfam family "Eukaryotic large subunit ribosomal RNA", at positions 1 to 422 of the family's 3401-position model. Lineage: Eukaryota; Fungi. The record is from RNAcentral.